GUAGGUGAACCUGCGAAAGGAUCAUUAACAAAUUAUGGUGGCAGGGUUUCCUGCUGCCGAUCCGCCUUCUCUGGCAACUGCGUCAUUGCAGUUGUAGGAACAGGGUUCUCCCGGGGCAACCCGUGGAUCUGCUGGGUAUCAACUGCGCAAGCAGUUGCCAGCAAAACAUAUAUACAUGUCUUAUACUGUCAAUCGACAACAAUACAACUUCCAACAAUGGAUCUCUAGGCUCUUGCAUCGAUGAAGAACG
Molecule: unclassified non-coding RNA, 250 nt
Filed under: plant metagenome
Description: partial contains small subunit ribosomal RNA, internal transcribed spacer 1, and 5.8S ribosomal RNA
Rfam family: 5.8S ribosomal RNA (bases 206-250)
Source: RNAcentral